This 253-nucleotide ribosomal RNA is filed under the name uncultured bacterium. Its description in RNAcentral is "partial 16S ribosomal RNA". It matches the Rfam family "Bacterial small subunit ribosomal RNA", at positions 524 to 776 of the family's 1533-position model. The record is from RNAcentral.
GACGUAGGGCGCGAGCGUUGUCCGGAUUUAUUGGGCGUAAAGAGCUCGUAGGCGGCUUGUCGCGUCGACCAUGAAAACUUGGGGCUCAACCCCAAGCCUGCGGUCGAUACGGGCAGGCUCGAGUUCGGUAGGGGAGACUGGAAUUCCUGGUGUAGCGGUGAAAUGCGCAGAUAUCAGGAGGAACACCGAUGGCGAAGGCAGGUCUCUGGGCCGAUACUGACGCUGAGGAGCGAAAGCGUGGGGAGCGAACAGG